Molecule: ribosomal RNA, 611 nt
Filed under: Adoretus sp. BM677766
Lineage: Eukaryota; Metazoa; Arthropoda; Insecta; Coleoptera; Scarabaeidae
Also listed under: 1 other name
Description: partial 16S ribosomal RNA
Rfam family: Bacterial large subunit ribosomal RNA
Source: RNAcentral
UUUAAAGUCUAACCUGCCCAAUGAGGAGUUGAAUGGCCGCGGUAUUUUGACCGUGCAAAGGUAGCAUAAUCAUUAGUUUUUUAAUUGAAAGCUGGAAUGAACGGUUGGACGAGAAAAUAACUGUCUCAAUUUAAUUGAAUUAGAAUUUUAUCUAUAAGUAAAAAAGCUUAUAUAAUUUUAAAAGACGAGAAGACCCUAUAGAGUUUUAUAUUUAUAGAUAUAUAAAGUUUUUAGUAUAUUUAAAUUUUAUAUGUUUUUAAGUAUUUUAUUGGGGCGAUAGAAAAAUUAAAUAAACUUUUUUUAUAUGAUUACAUAGUUAAAUGAAUAAAUGAUCCAAUAAUUUUGAUUAUAAGAUUAAAUUACCUUAGGGAUAACAGCGUAAUUUUUUUUUAGAGUUCUUAUCGAAAAAAGAGUUUGCGACCUCGAUGUUGGAUUAAAAUUAACUUUUGGUGCAGAAGCUAAAAUGUUGGGUCUGUUCGACCUUUAAAAUUUUACAUGAUCUGAGUUUAAACCGGCGUGAGCCAGGUUGGUUUCUAUCUUUAAACAAAUUAAGUAUUUUAGUACGAAAGGAUCAAGUACUUAUAAUAAUUAUUAUAAAUUGAAUAUUAAUA